UUACGCAAAAUCGUACCCGGCGAAGCUUUACCCGUAGUUCUCUUCUUCGACAAAUCUACUUCCGAACUCCAGAUCCCCAAACUGUUGAAAGAAAUUAAAACGUUGCAUGGAAGAAUAAUCGAAGGAACAAAAUUCGACUCUGGGUCGAAAACUGCAAACAAACAAAUGUUUUUCUGCCCGAAUAAAAAUUCCAAUGACGAAUGUUUGGUUCACAAAACAUUCAAGAAAUCAGAACCGCUAGAAUGCGCCAAAGAACCAUCGGCAGUACCGGUAAUAGGAAAUUUAGAGGGUGUUUAUCAAAUGAAGUGUGGGCCUGGAAACCAAAAUGAAGAAGGGACUUUACAUGGAUAUGUUUACAAAAUUUGUGAGAAUCAAGAAAUCAAUGGGUGGCUGCAGUUCACGAAAUACGUGGGGUUUUCAAUUGAACCGGAAAAGGUUAGAGGAAAUGAUUUAGAAAUAUAUUCUUUUUGUUACAAUACUGCCAAGAAAAAAACUAUAUUCACCGUCCACGAAAUAAAACUUCCAUUAUUAAUGAAUGGGUACGUUCUAUUUCGAGAGCAAGAAAUAGAAUAUGGUAUGAUGAAUGAUCAAGUUGUUUCUCCAAACCAGUCGAAGCCAGAAAAUACACCUACUGAGG
This is a long non-coding RNA of Planococcus citri (citrus mealybug), 637 nucleotides long. RefSeq lists it as uncharacterized. Lineage: Eukaryota; Metazoa; Arthropoda; Insecta; Hemiptera; Pseudococcidae. The transcript has 2 exons. The record is from RefSeq and is a predicted model, not a curated record.